GAUUUUUUGUUUUUGUCUUGUUAAAUAUGUGUGCAGAGGCAACAACAUAUUAGUUCUUAGUAGGAAUUACACAAGCAAAGGAGUCAAACAUAAUAAAGUGGAAAUGAAGGUUAUCAUAAGCAUCAAUACAACAGAACUUCAAUCAAAAUUAACAAUCUUUCUGUAGAAAAUUAAAAUAAUUUUGAUUUCUUCCACUUACAUCCAUAACAUCUCUUUAAAGCCCUAGAUCCACACUAUAAGACCAAGAUAUACCAAAAUUGGAACAGAAGGCAGAGGAAGAAAAAAUUAGGGGCAGUAGCAUUAAAAAAAACUUAAAGAAGCCCCUAUUUUUUUAUCAGACUCAAACCUCAGAAAGAAACAUAUUUUCAAGCAACCACCGCAUUUCAAACACACAAAAAUAGAAAAAAUUAGGGGCAGUAGCAUUAAAAAAAACUUAAAGAAGCCCCUAUUUUUUUAUCAGACUCAAACCUCAGAAAGAAACAUAUUUUCAAGCAACCACCGCAUUUCAAACACACAAAAAAAAACCCAGUAGCAAAAAACUUUCAAUCACCAAGCAUCAAAUUUCAAAACAACAUGAUACAAGAAAUUUCAAAACAACACAUAACAAAAAAAAUAGAAACAAAUAGAAAUAGGAGUAAGAAGGAAAAUCAACCACCGGAAAGCAAUCACCGACCACCAUUCAAAGGCUUCUCGCCUUCGUAAAUCCAGACCCUUUUAGAGGACCUUUCGUACACUGCUUGGUUCGAUUCUGCUUCUUCUUCUUCGUAUUUACUUUACCUUCUUUUUAAUUAUCGUAAUACUGAAAAGUGAAUGAGAAUGAAUGGAGUUUAGAUAUUUGAAAGGAGAGGGUAUCGUAUUUUCUCAGAAAAAUGAGGCA
This 877-nucleotide long non-coding RNA is filed under the name Lathyrus oleraceus (garden pea). RNAcentral describes it as "Pisum sativum (pea) long non-coding RNA (PSAT_LNC026838)". The record is from RNAcentral. Lineage: Eukaryota; Viridiplantae; Streptophyta; Magnoliopsida; Fabales; Fabaceae.